UCGCCCCUGCGAUGUGCGUGAUUGACAUCCGUUUUUGAGCCAACGUUUUUGAACUGGGGACCUUAUCCGGGAUUGUGGUGUGCAUGUCCGCUUUUUCCUGAGCUGGUCGGGAAGCAGAAAGCCUAAAGCAAUCCAUAAAGGGCCCACCUGUAAAGCAGGUUCGAAAAGAUGCUUGACACGGCAUAGGCGGGGGUUUU
RNAcentral lists this non-coding RNA (197 nucleotides) under Smithella sp. RNAcentral describes it as "6S RNA". It matches the Rfam family "6S / SsrS RNA". Rfam says of the family: E. coli 6S RNA was the first non coding RNA to be sequenced, but its function was unknown until recently. It consists of 184 nucleotides that fold into an extended hairpin structure with a large single-stranded internal bulge. The record is from RNAcentral. Lineage: Bacteria; Pseudomonadati; Thermodesulfobacteriota; Syntrophia; Syntrophales; Smithellaceae.